Molecule: transfer RNA, 75 nt
Filed under: Sarcophilus harrisii (Tasmanian devil)
Lineage: Eukaryota; Metazoa; Chordata; Mammalia; Dasyuromorphia; Dasyuridae
Rfam family: tRNA
About the family: Transfer RNA (tRNA) molecules are approximately 80 nucleotides in length. Their secondary structure includes four short double-helical elements and three loops (D, anti-codon, and T loops). Further hydrogen bonds mediate the characteristic L-shaped molecular structure. tRNAs have two regions of fundamental functional importance: the anti-codon, which is responsible for specific mRNA codon recognition, and the 3' end, to which the tRNAs corresponding amino acid is attached (by aminoacyl-tRNA synthetases). tRNAs cope with the degeneracy of the genetic code in two manners: having more than one tRNA (with a specific anti-codon) for a particular amino acid; and 'wobble' base-pairing, i.e. permitting non-standard base-pairing at the 3rd anti-codon position.
Source: Rfam by way of RNAcentral
AUCAAGAUAGUUAACAGGUGGUAGAACACCUGGUUUGGAGUCAGAAAGAUCUGAGUUCAAAUCUAGUUUUAGAUA